Molecule: RNase P RNA, 416 nt
Filed under: Holosporales bacterium
Lineage: Bacteria; Pseudomonadati; Pseudomonadota; Alphaproteobacteria; Holosporales
Description: RNase P RNA component class A
Rfam family: Bacterial RNase P class A
About the family: Ribonuclease P (RNase P) is a ubiquitous endoribonuclease, found in archaea, bacteria and eukarya as well as chloroplasts and mitochondria.
Source: RNAcentral
UGGAUCUGGUGAUUGAUCGCUGAGAAAUUCUUUAUUUCUCAGAGGAAAGUCCGGGCUUCAUGCGGGCAGGGUGCCGGAUAACGUCCGGCGUCAGGGGUUGAAAGAUCUCUGAUAGGGAAAGUGCAACAGAAAAGAUACCGCCUUAUUUCGGAGUUAUUCGGAUUGAGGUAAGGGUGAAAUGGCGUCGGUAAGAGCGCACCGCUCGUCCGGUAACGGUCGUGGCAAUGCAAACCCCACCUGAAGAAAGACCAAAUAGAGGUGACCAGAACGGGGAUUUAUCCCAGUUCGUGAGGGGCCCGCGCUCAUCGUCACCUGGGUAGGUCGCUCGAGUUCACCGGUAACGGUGCGCCUAGAUGAAUGAUCAAUCAGAAGAAUGUUUCUUCGGACAGAACCCGGCUUAUAGCCAGAUUCAUGCU